GUCAACGCAGGUACACUGGCUAGAAGUCCGCCGCGCGCCUUGGAAUUCGGCGACUUCGAUUCGGUCAGAAUUGGUCCUACGGCUCAAGUCACGGAGAACCAUCCACGUAGGACGACAGAGAGAAUGAAGGAGAACCUUCCACUACUAGUACUAGAGCCCACGCAUGCCGGGGCUCAGGAGACACCGCGGCUCCGAUGCGCUCAUCUUUGCCUGCUUGCGAGCGCUUGGCUCAAGCCAGUAUGGACCAGCAGAGAACCUCGCUCUUCCUCGUCUCCGAUAUGCAGGCUGGAAGGGAGAAAAUGGACUGGGUUGCACGCAUGCAGGCGGGCUCGUUUCCUCGUGUCCAGUCAACGUAUCUGGUGGGCCUGGACGUCGGUGGCGCAGCAACCCAUCACAAGUUAUAGGUCCAUGUUGUUUGACCUAUUUUACUUUUAUAUGAGAAAACUGUGGGCAUAUCACUUUUCUUGGCCACUCAAGACGAAACUCGCUGAUGCACGUAGCACUUUGAUACAAAUGGUGCAUAUAUUAUACUCCCUCCGUAGUCGUUUUAAGUCUUAGUUUUAUGUCUAUAUUUAAAUAGUUAAAGAUGAAGCUAGACACAUACAAAAUACAUGCAUCAAAAAUUGUAUGAACCCACUAA
Molecule: long non-coding RNA, 640 nt
Organism: Zea mays
Lineage: Eukaryota; Viridiplantae; Streptophyta; Magnoliopsida; Poales; Poaceae
Exons: 2
Source: RefSeq, a predicted model, not a curated record